RNAcentral lists this ribosomal RNA (495 nucleotides) under uncultured bacterium. RNAcentral describes it as "partial 16S ribosomal RNA". It matches the Rfam family "Bacterial small subunit ribosomal RNA", at positions 28 to 507 of the family's 1533-position model. The record is from RNAcentral.
GACGAACGCUGGCGGCGUGCCUAAUACAUGCAGGUAGAACGCUGAAGGAGGAGCUUGCUCUUCUGGAUGAGUUGCGAACGGGUGAGUAACGCGUAGGUAACCUGCCUGGUAGCGGGGGAUAACUAUUGGAAACGAUAGCUAAUACCGCAUAACAGUAGAUGUUGCAUGACAUUUGCUUAAAAGGUGCAAUUGCAUCACUACCAGAUGGACCUGCGUUGUAUUAGCUAGUUGGUGGGGUAACGGCUCACCAAGGCGACGAUACAUAGCCGACCUGAGAGGGUGAUCGGCCACACUGGGACUGAGACACGGCCCAGACUCCUACGGGAGGCAGCAGUAGGGAAUCUUCGGCAAUGGACGGAAGUCUGACCGAGCAACGCCGCGUGAGUGAAGAAGGUUUUCGGAUCGUAAAGCUCUGUUGUAAGGGAAGAACGAGUGUGAGAGUGGAAAGUUCACACUGUGACGGUAUCUUACCAGAAAGGGACGGCUAACUACGUG